AUUGAACGCUGGCGGCAGGCCUAACACAUGCAAGUCGAACGGAAGAAGGGUGCUUGCUUGUGGUUUCAGCGGCGGACGGGUGAGUAAUGCCUGGGAAUCUCCCUGGCUGUGGGUGAUAACGUCCGGAAGCGGGCGCUAAUACCGCAUAAGUCCUGAGGGAGAAAGUGGGGGAGCUCCGGACCUUACGCUCUCAGAUGAGUGUAGGUGGGAUUAGCUAGUUGGUGGGGUAAAGGCCUACCAAGGCGACGAUCCGUAGCUGGUCUGAGAGGAUGAUCAGUCACACUGGAACUGAGACACGGUCCAGACUCCUACGGGAGGCAGCAGUGGGGAAUAUUGGACAGUGGGCGCAAGCCUGAUCCAGCCAUGCCGCGUGUGUGAAGAAGGCCCUCGGUUUGUAAAGCACUUUUGCUGGGGAGGAAGCGCAGUAGGUUAAUACCAAGCUGUUGUGACGUUACCAACAGAAUAAGCACCGGCUAACUUCGUG
This 484-nucleotide ribosomal RNA is filed under the name uncultured bacterium. RNAcentral describes it as "partial 16S ribosomal RNA". It matches the Rfam family "Bacterial small subunit ribosomal RNA", at positions 30 to 507 of the family's 1533-position model. The record is from RNAcentral.